AACGCACCUUGCGCUCCUUGGUAUUCCGAGGAGCAUGCCUGUUUGAGUGUCAUGAAACUCUCAACCUUCAACUUUUUUAUUAAGGCUGAAGGCUUGGACUUGAGCGUUGCUGGUUUUUACUAACCGGCUCGCUUGAAAUGAAUUAGCAGAUCCUUUUUGUAAUCGGUUCCACUCGACGUGAUAAGUAUUUCGCCGAGGACAUACGAAAGUAUGGCCGAGAUAAAGAAAGUCUUUAGAUCCGCUUCUAAUUCUUAGAUAGAGCUUGCUCUACUAAACCCUAUUUUAUGAUCUGGCCUCAAAUCAGGUAGGACUACCCGCUGAACUUAA
This 327-nucleotide unclassified non-coding RNA is filed under the name uncultured Mrakia. Its description in RNAcentral is "sequence contains ITS2". The stretch from base 1 to 52 matches the Rfam family "5.8S ribosomal RNA", at positions 103 to 154 of the family's 154-position model. Lineage: Eukaryota; Fungi; Basidiomycota; Tremellomycetes; Cystofilobasidiales; Cystofilobasidiaceae. The record is from RNAcentral.